RNAcentral lists this ribosomal RNA (440 nucleotides) under uncultured bacterium. Its description in RNAcentral is "partial 16S ribosomal RNA". It matches the Rfam family "Bacterial small subunit ribosomal RNA", at positions 338 to 795 of the family's 1533-position model. The record is from RNAcentral.
CCUACGGGAGGCAGCAGUGGGGGAUAUUGCACAAUGGGGGAAACCCUGAUGCAGCGACGCCGCGUGGGUGAAGAAGCGCCUCGGCGCGUAAAGCCCUGUCAGCAGGGAAGAAAAUGACGGUACCUGAAGAAGAAGCCCCGGCAAACUACGUGCCAGCAGUCGCGGUAAUACGUCGGGGGCAAGCGUUAUCCGGAUUGACUGGGUGUAAAGGGGGCGCAGACGGCGAUGCAAGCCAGGAGUGAAAGCCCGGGGCCCAACCCCGGGACUGCUCUUGGAACUGCGUGGCUAGAGUGCAGGAGGGGCAGGCGGAAUUCCUGGUGUAGCGGUGAAAUGCGUAGAUAUCAGGAGGAACACCGGUGGCGAAGGCGGCCUGCUGGACUGCAACUGACGUUGAGGCCCGAAAGCGUGGGGAGCAAACAGGAUUAGAUACCCGGGUAGUC